This 465-nucleotide ribosomal RNA is filed under the name uncultured bacterium. RNAcentral describes it as "partial 16S ribosomal RNA". It matches the Rfam family "Bacterial small subunit ribosomal RNA", at positions 28 to 507 of the family's 1533-position model. The record is from RNAcentral.
GACGAACGCUGGCGGCGUGCUUAACACAUGCAAGUCGAGCGGUAAGGCCCCUUCGGGGGUACACGAGCGGCGAACGGGUGAGUAACACGUGAGCAAUCUGCCCAUCACAUCGGGAUAACUCCGGGAAACCGAAGCUAAUACCGAAUACGACCACCUCCGGCAUCGGAUGGUGGUGGAAAGUUCCGGCGGUGAUGGAUGAGCUCGCGGCCUAUCAGCUUGUUGGUGGGGUAACGGCCCACCAAGGCUUCGACGGGUAGCCGGCCUGAGAGGGUGACCGGCCACACUGGGACUGAGACACGGCCCAGACUCCUACGGGAGGCAGCAGUGGGGAACAUUGGACAAUGGGCGAAAGCCUGAUCCAGCAACGCCGCGUGAGGGAUGACGGCCUUCGGGUUGUAAACCUCUUUCAGCAGGGACGAAGCGCAAGUGACGGUACCUGCAGAAGAAGCACCGGCCAACUACGUG